Molecule: ribosomal RNA, 253 nt
Filed under: uncultured bacterium
Lineage: Bacteria
Description: partial 16S ribosomal RNA
Rfam family: Bacterial small subunit ribosomal RNA
Source: RNAcentral
UACGUAGGGUGCGAGCGUUAAUCGGAAUUACUAGGCGUAAAGCGUGCGCAGGCGGUUUUGUAAGACAGGCGUGAAAUCCCCGGGCUCAACCUGGGAAUGGCGCUUGUGACUGCAAGGCUGGAGUGCGGCAGAGGGGGAUGGAAUUCCGCGUGUAGCAGUGAAAUGCGUAGAUAUGCGGAGGAACACCGAUGGCGAAGGCAAUCCCCUGGGCCUGCACUGACGCUCAUGCACGAAAGCGUGGGGAGCAAACAGG